AGAACAAAUUCAUGGUGAUCUGAUCCUAAGGUCUGCCUGAGGCUGUGCUAUACAUGGGACCCAAACAAGAUACUGAUGGCUCUAAUCCCUUUUUUUUGCUCCCCUCAUCCUCAGCAUUGACCUGGGCUGGCUUCCCAGACUGAGCUUCAUCCCCAGGAGGGUUACUCCACAAGCUCCCGUAGCCUUAAUCAACAUAAACCUUCAGCCCAGCAGCCAGGUGCCACAGUAUGGUUCGUUUACAAGAUACACACUGGGAGCAUUCUGUUUUCUCUUUCUUAUAUGAUUGCCAUUAUUAUAAUGGUCCAGAAGGUCUGAGAAUUUUAUUAUCCCUUUGGAACUGGGCUGAACUGCAAAGCAACAUGAAUUGAGCUGGUUGAAAACUGGAAUUUUCAUUCCACGGGA
Molecule: long non-coding RNA, 402 nt
Organism: Trachemys scripta elegans
Lineage: Eukaryota; Metazoa; Chordata; Testudines; Emydidae
Exons: 4
Source: RefSeq, a predicted model, not a curated record